RNAcentral lists this ribosomal RNA (498 nucleotides) under uncultured bacterium. RNAcentral describes it as "partial 16S ribosomal RNA". It matches the Rfam family "Bacterial small subunit ribosomal RNA", at positions 29 to 523 of the family's 1533-position model. The record is from RNAcentral.
AUUGAACGCUGGCGGCAUGCCUUACACAUGCAAGUCGAACGGUAACAGGUCUUCGGAUGCUGACGAGUGGCGAACGGGUGAGUAAUACAUCGGAACGUGCCCAGUAAUGGGGGAUAGCCCGGCGAAAGCCGGAUUAAUACCGCAUACGCCCUGAGGGGGAAAGUGGGGGACCGCAAGGCCUCACGUUCUUGGAGGGGCCGAUGGCUGAUUAGCUAGUUGGUGAGGCAAAGGCUCACCAAGGCGACGAUCAGUAGCUGGGCGGAGAGGACGAUCAGCCACACGGGGACUGAGACACGGCCCAGACUCCUACGGGAGGCAUCAGUGGGGAAUGUGGGACAAUGGGGGCAACCCUGAUCCAGCAAUGCCGCGUGUGCGAAGAAGGCCUUCGGGUUGUAAAGCACUUUUGUCAGGGAAGAAAUCCUUUGGGCUAAUACCCUAGGGGGAUGACGGUACCUGAAGAAUAAGCACCGGCUAACUACGUGCCAGCAGCCGCCGUAA